Molecule: ribosomal RNA, 252 nt
Filed under: uncultured bacterium
Lineage: Bacteria
Description: partial 16S ribosomal RNA
Rfam family: Bacterial small subunit ribosomal RNA
Source: RNAcentral
UACGUAGGGUGCGAGCGUUGUCCGGAAUUACUGGGCGUAAAGAGCUCGUAGGUGGUUUGUCGCGUUGUUCGUGAAAUCUCACGCUAACUGUGGAGCGUGCGGGCGAUACGGGCAGACUAGAGUACUGCAGGGGAGACUGGAAUUCCUGGUGUAGCGGUGGAAUGCGCAGAUAUCAGGAGGAACACCGGUGGCGAAGGCGGGUCUCUGGGCAGUAACUGACGCUGAGGAGCGAAAGCGUGGGGAGCGAACAGG